GUCUUCUUGUUGCACUCCUUUCUGUCUGUUGGUGACCAUUGAUUCACAAGAGAAGAGAGAAUUCAGAGAACUAGCAUCAUUUUGACUUCUGUCUUUGCAGGUGUGUAGUUGGCUGUUUUGUGAGACAUUC
RNAcentral lists this small nucleolar RNA (130 nucleotides) under Carlito syrichta (Philippine tarsier). Its description in RNAcentral is "Small nucleolar RNA SNORA75 (ENSTSYG00000021288.2)". The record is from RNAcentral. Lineage: Eukaryota; Metazoa; Chordata; Mammalia; Primates; Tarsiidae.